Lampris incognitus (smalleye Pacific opah) is the source of this 499-nucleotide long non-coding RNA. RefSeq lists it as uncharacterized. The record is from RefSeq and is a predicted model, not a curated record. Lineage: Eukaryota; Metazoa; Chordata; Actinopteri; Lampriformes; Lampridae. The transcript has 3 exons.
GCUCCCAGCCGGUACCUACUUUUUUACACAUGGGCAUAUCAGACCACAGCAUUGUCCUAAAUCUUUUAAAUCUUUCUCGGCCUCCUUCAGGUCUGCGUUGACCUUGUUCAUGCCCUCUUCGACACGAUCAAGUUGUUCUGCAGAUUUGUGUCCUUCCUCCAUCCAAAUGGACCUGUCCUUCACACACUAUCAGGGAACAUAACGACCGCUCUGCAAGGUUUCCUGAGCUGCAGUGAAAACGGAUCCUGGUCCUUUUUUUCUCUCCCCCUUUUCUCCCCAACUGUACCCGUCCACGUACCCCACUGUUCCGAGCCGUCCCGGUCGCUGCUCCACUCCCUCCGCCGAUCCGGGGAGGGCUGCAGACUACCACAUCGCCAGCUGCUUCUUUUCACCUGACAGUGAGGCGUUUCGCCAGGGGGACGUAGCAUGUGGGAGGAUCUCGCUAUCCCCCCCCCAAACAGGUGCCCCGGCGGACCAGAGGAGGCGCUAGUGCAGCGAC